This 75-nucleotide transfer RNA is filed under the name Actinopolyspora xinjiangensis. RNAcentral describes it as "tRNA_Val_GAC". It matches the Rfam family "tRNA". Rfam says of the family: Transfer RNA (tRNA) molecules are approximately 80 nucleotides in length. Their secondary structure includes four short double-helical elements and three loops (D, anti-codon, and T loops). Lineage: Bacteria; Bacillati; Actinomycetota; Actinomycetes; Actinopolysporales; Actinopolysporaceae. RNAcentral also lists the same sequence under 4 other names. The record is from RNAcentral.
GCGCGAUUAGCUCAGCGGGAGAGCGCUACCUUGACACGGUAGAGGUCACUGGUUCGAUCCCAGUAUCGCGCACCG